This 612-nucleotide ribosomal RNA is filed under the name uncultured sordariaceous ectomycorrhiza. RNAcentral's name for it is "eukaryotic LSU rRNA". The stretch from base 240 to 393 matches the Rfam family "5.8S ribosomal RNA". The record is from RNAcentral. Lineage: Eukaryota; Fungi; Ascomycota; Sordariomycetes; Sordariales; Sordariaceae.
CUUGGUCAUUUAUAGGAAGUAAAAGUCGUAACAAGGCCUCCGUUGGUGAACCAGCGGAGGGAUCAUUAAAGAGUUGCAAAGCUCCCAAACCCUUGUCAACCUACCUGUUUCUGUUGCUUCGGCGGGUGGCCCCAGGCGGGGCCGUCUGCCUCUGUUCGCGGAGGUGCCUGCCAGAAGCCCACAAAACUCCUGCGUUAUAGUGGCAUGUCUUACCAAAAAAAGAACAUCAAACGAGUCAAAACUUUCAACAACGGAUCUCUUGGUUCUGGCAUCGAUGAAGAACGCAGCGAAAUGCGAUAAGUAAUGUGAAUUGCAGAAUUCAGUGAAUCAUCGAAUCUUUGAACGCACAUUGCGCCCGCUAGUAUUCUGGUGGGCAUGCCUGUUCGAGAGUCAUUUUCAAUCCUCAAGCUCUGGCUUGGUGUUGGGGUUCUACGGCUCCUGUAGGCUCCAAAGACUAGUGGCGGGCUCGCUAUAACUCCGAGCGCAGUACAUGUAUCUCGCUUUGGAAGUGUGGUGGGUUCCAGCCGCAAAACGCCCCAACUCACAUGACAAGGUUAACCUCGUAUCAGGUAGGAAUACCCGCUGAACUUAAGCAUAUCAAUAAGCGGAGGA